GACGAACGCUGGCGGCGCGCCUAACACAUGCAAGUCGAACGAGCGAGAGAGAGCUUGCUUUCUCAAGCGAGUGGCGAACGGGUGAGUAACGCGUGAGGAACCUGCCUCAAAGAGGGGGACAACAGUUGGAAACGACUGCUAAUACCGCAUAAGCCCACAGGUCGGCAUCGACCAGAGGGAAAAGGAGCAAUCCGCUUUGAGAUGGCCUCGCGUCCGAUUAGCUAGUUGGUGAGGUAACGGCCCACCAAGGCAACGAUCGGUAGCCGGACUGAGAGGUUGAACGGCCACAUUGGGACUGAGACACGGCCCAGACUCCUACGGGAGGCAGCAGUGGGGAAUAUUGCACCAUGGGGGAAACCCUGAUGCAGCGACGCCGCGUGGAGGAAGAAGGUCUUCGGAUUGUAAACUCCUGUUGUUGAGGAAGAUAAUGACGGUACUCAACAAGGAAGUGACGGCUAACUACGUG
RNAcentral lists this ribosomal RNA (466 nucleotides) under uncultured bacterium. Its description in RNAcentral is "partial 16S ribosomal RNA". It matches the Rfam family "Bacterial small subunit ribosomal RNA", at positions 28 to 507 of the family's 1533-position model. The record is from RNAcentral.